Unclassified non-coding RNA from Parus major (Great Tit), 311 nucleotides. Its record names the gene 7SK. It matches the Rfam family "7SK RNA". From Rfam's summary of the family: 7SK was discovered as an abundant small nuclear RNA in the mid-70s but a possible function has only recently been suggested. Two independent studies have found that 7SK RNA binds the CDK9/cyclin T complex (known as elongation factor P-TEFb). The record is from Ensembl. NCBI's taxonomy places the organism in Eukaryota, Metazoa, Chordata, Aves, Passeriformes, Paridae.
GGACCUGAGGGCAGUCUGGCUGCAACAUCUGUCACCCCACUGAUGACCAAGUUAAUUGAGCUGACCUGGCUGGCUCGGUGGGUGUCCCCUUUCCUCCCUCAGUGCUCCAUGUACAUCUCUACCAAAGCUGCAUGCUGGUUGAAAAGGGUGAUCUCCCUCAUGGACAUGGUGCUGUUCAUCAGUCAAGGGUAUACAGUAGCCCUGCACCCUGCUAGAACCAAACUCGAGCUUUGUGGCUAUUUAUGCUGUAACUGCAGUUUCUCUAACAAUUUUGCAGUGACCUGCCAGAGAUCUAAAGAAAAUAUUUUCUG